GUGAUACCCGGUGUAGUGGCAAUUAUUUGUUGGAGACGCAAAGGAGGAAGAUGUGGAGAGAACAUGAUUACUGAAGGACAUCCGGACUGUAAGAGAAAGCGGAAGGAUCAGACUGAACCUGAUGUUACUUACGCAACUGUAACCCAUGUGAACACAGCCGGAGCAGCACGGGUCCAGAUCAACGCUGCAGACAACACUGAAUAUGCCAGCAUUAUAACAAGAUAAUCCACAGUAAAUAUACAUAGAUACACUCUCAGAUAUUAUAUAAUAAUGAUGAAAACAUAUAUUAAACACACACCAUGGUAAGCAUGUUUUUCCACAAAUUGUUGUUUUUCAUGUUUUUGUUUGUUUGUUUAUUUUUUCAAUUAAAUAGCAGAUUCAGAUAUAUGCAUGUAUGGGGGAAAGGGGUGGGGUUUCCAGAGUAUUGCAUUACAUUUAUUUAUGUUAGCUAAGGGUAUUGUUCCUCAUUUACUUUGUGUGUUAA
Molecule: long non-coding RNA, 484 nt
Organism: Ictalurus punctatus (channel catfish)
Lineage: Eukaryota; Metazoa; Chordata; Actinopteri; Siluriformes; Ictaluridae
Source: Ensembl